UAAGUAAGCUUUGAUCCAGAGAUUUCCGAAUGGGGAAACCCAGCAUGAGUUAUGUCAUGUUAUCGAUAUGUGAAUACAUAGCAUAUCAGAAGGCACACCCGGAGAACUGAAACAUCUUAGUACCCGGAGGAAGAGAAAGAAAAUUCGAUUCCCUUAGUAGCGGCGAGCGAAACGGGAAGAGCCCAAACCAACAAGCUUGCUUGUUGGGGUUGUAGGACACUCUAUACGGAGUUACAAAGGACGACAUUAGACGAAUCAUCUGGAAAGAUGAAUCAAAGAAGGUAAUAAUCCUGUAGUCGAAAAUGUUGUCUCUCUUGAGUGGAUCCUGAGUACGACGGAGCACGUGAAAUUCCGUCGGAAUCUGGGAGGACCAUCUCCUAAGGCUAAAUACUCUCUAGUGACCGAUAGUGAACCAGUACCGUGAGGGAAAGGUGAAAAGCACCCCGGAAGGGGAGUGAAAUAGAACCUGAAACCGUGUGCUUACAAGUAGUCAGAGCCCGUUAAUGGGUGAUGGCGUGCCUUUUGUAGAAUGAACCGGCGAGUUACGAUUUGAUGCAAGGUUAAGCAGUAAAUGUGGAGCCGUAGCGAAAGCGAGUCUGAAUAGGGCGUUUAGUAUUUGGUCGUAGACCCGAAACCAGGUGAUCUACCCUUGGUCAGGUUGAAGUUCAGGUAACACUGAAUGGAGGACCGAACCGACUUACGUUGAAAAGUGAGCGGAUGAACUGAGGGUAGCGGAGAAAUUCCAAUCGAACCUGGAGAUAGCUGGUUCUCUCCGAAAUAGCUUUAGGGCUAGCCUCAAGUGAU
RNAcentral lists this ribosomal RNA (804 nucleotides) under Staphylococcus aureus. RNAcentral's name for it is "partial 23S ribosomal RNA". It matches the Rfam family "Bacterial large subunit ribosomal RNA", at positions 89 to 890 of the family's 2925-position model. The record is from RNAcentral. Lineage: Bacteria; Bacillati; Bacillota; Bacilli; Caryophanales; Staphylococcaceae.